This 1200-nucleotide long non-coding RNA is filed under the name Chrysolophus pictus (golden pheasant). RNAcentral's name for it is "lncRNA (ENSCPIG00010002173.1)". Lineage: Eukaryota; Metazoa; Chordata; Aves; Galliformes; Phasianidae. The record is from RNAcentral.
AUGCUGAUAGUACUGUUUGGAAUUGCAAGUCGACAAGAUUUCACCUUUUGGAGCAUGGAUUCAAAUUCCAACAUUGUGGUUGUAACUGGUUUUGGUCCCUUUAGACAAUACCUGGUUAAUUCUAGCUGGGAAGCAGUGAAGGAGCUGUCCAAGAGAGGCCUUGGAAAAAACAUAGAUCUUCGUAUCAUGCAGCUACCAGUGGUUUACCAAAAAGCAAAGGAACAAAUCUUCAGGAUAUGGACAACUCUUCAUCCAAUAGUAAGUAGUUAUAACGUUGGGUAAUUUUCCCCUUCAUUUCUAAAUAAUAUUUUCAGUAGAUCUUUAAAAAGAUCUCCAAAAGAUUAUUGCACAAUGUGUAUCAGGCAGUUCUGGAUAGUGACUGUUAAAAUGGUGAUGAAGGUUCCAAACAACUCUGGAGCACAAAUUAAUUAGCAUGCUACUUUAAUCCUGUGCCAUGUAAACAGCAUAACUGCAUGCAGAACAAAGAAAAAUACAUCUACCUACAUAAAUUGUAGGAAAAAAACGGAGAAAAAAAUUUCAGCUUUGAAGCCUGGAGUUGACUAGACACAACAACAAAAAAAAACAAAAAAAUUUUGUUCUCAUUUAUAACCUCUUAUCAAAGUUAUCUUGAAGCAUGAGCUACAGCAAGACUUCCCACCUCGAAGACAGUAUUUCACAUAAUGCUUGGCACUACUGCAUUACAUGUUUUCAAAAAACAGGUCUCAUUUUUAAUUUCCUGUUAUUCACUCUGGUGGGAAAAUACAGCUUACUGUUCACGUUGGGCUGGCUUCAUCUGCCAAAGCAAUCAUCAUCCUUGAGCAGUGUGGGAAGAACAAAGGCUAUGAAGAGAUGGAUGCUUGUGGUUUUCACCCAGAAGGUGGCUGUUGCAUGCUAGAUGGUCCGGAAAAGAUUGAAUCUACAAUUAACAUGAAGACUAUCUGGAAAAAUAUUUCAGUGGAAGGAAUUGAUAUGAUCUUUUCCAGAGAUGCAGGAAGGUAAACAUUGCAUAUCGAGGUCUCAAAGUAAAAGCAGAAGUAAUUCAAUCAGCUCAUUUAACCUUGAAGAGUCUCUGCAAUGACUUUCCUCUAACCAAAAUCACUUUGAAGUAAAGACUUCCAAGUGUCACAAGUAUAAAAUGAGGAUAAAUUUAAAUUUUAUGUAGAGAAGCCUUUGUGAAAAACAACAGUCAGUAGAUAGUUU